Molecule: non-coding RNA, 1163 nt
Filed under: Triticum aestivum (bread wheat)
Lineage: Eukaryota; Viridiplantae; Streptophyta; Magnoliopsida; Poales; Poaceae
Description: Bacterial large subunit ribosomal RNA
Rfam family: Bacterial large subunit ribosomal RNA
Source: Rfam by way of RNAcentral
GUUCAGAAGAGGAAAGGCUUGCGGUGGAUACCUAGGCACCCAGAGACGAGGAAGGGCAUAGCAAGCAACGAAAUGCUUCGGGGAGUUGAAAAUAAGCAUAGAUCCGGAGAUUCCCAAAUAGGUCAACCUUUUAAACUGCCUGCUGAACCCAUGAGCAGGCAAGAGAUAACCUGGCGAACUGAAACAUCUUAGUAGCCAAAGGAAAAGAAAGCAAAAGUGAUUCCCAUAGUAGCGGCGAGCGAAAUGGGAGCAGCCUAAACCGUGAAAAAGGGGUUGUGGGAGAGCAAUACAAGCGUUGAGCUGCUAGCCGAAGCGGUUGAGUGUCGCACCCUAGAUGGCUAAAGUCCAGUAGCCGAAAGCAUCACUAGCUUACGCUCUGACCCAAGUAGCAUGGGGCACGUGGAAUCCCGUGUGAAUCAGCAAGGACCACCUUGCAAGGCUAAAUACUCCUAGGUGACCGAUAGCGAAGUAGUACCAUGAGGGAAAGGUGAAAAGAACCCCCAGUGGGUAGUGAAAUAGAACGUGAAACCGUGCUGAGCUCCCAAGCAGUGGGAGGGGAAAGUGAUCUCUGACCGCGUGCCUGUUGAAGAAUGAGCCGAUGACUCAUAGGCAGUGGCUUGGUUAAGGGAACGGAACCCACCGGAGUCGUAGCGAAAGCGAGUCUUAAUAGGGCGAUUGUCACUGCUUAUGGACCCGAACCUGGGUGAUCUAUCCAUGACCAGGAUGAAGCUUGGAUGAAACUAAGCAGAGGUUCGGACCGACUGAUGUUGAAGAAUCAGCGGAUGAGUUGUGGUUAGGGGUGAAAUGCCACUCGAACCCAGAGCUAGCUGGUUCUCCGUGAAAUGCGUUGAGGCGCGGCAGUUGACUGGACAUCUAGGGGUAAAGCACUGUUUCGGUGCGGGCUGCGCGAGCGGUACCAAAUCGAGGCGAACUCUGAAUAGUAGAUAUGACCCAAAAAUAACAGGGGUCAAGGUCGGCCAGUGAGACGAUGGGGGAUAAGCUUCAUCGUACGCGUAGACAACCUGGCGAACUGGAGUGAAGUCGUGAGAAGGUAGCCGUACAUUAUGUAAAUUGGGUAUCAAUUGGGAGAGAACAUGCAGUCGGACAAGUUUAAAUACGUCAUGCUAGCCGUACAUUAUUGAUUCACUUUCCUUUCAGGUUAA